This 300-nucleotide ribosomal RNA is filed under the name uncultured bacterium. RNAcentral describes it as "bacterial SSU rRNA". It matches the Rfam family "Bacterial small subunit ribosomal RNA", at positions 206 to 507 of the family's 1533-position model. The record is from RNAcentral.
GGUUUACCGCCUUGGGAUAGGCUUGCGUCUGAUUAGCUAGUUGGUGUGGUAACGGCACACCAAGGCUACGAUCAGUAACUGGUCUGAGAGGAUGAUCAGUCACACUGGAACUGAGACACGGUCCAGACUCCUACGGGAGGCAGCAGUGAGGAAUAUUGGGCAAUGCUCGAAAGAGUGACCCAGCAACGCCGCGUGGAGGAUGAAGGUAUUCUAUAUCGUAAACUCCUGUGAGAGCAGACGAAAGACAGAUUAUUAAUCUGGAUGACUGUAUGCUCAGAGGAAGCCCCGGCUAACUCCGUG